CAAUAGCGUAUGUUAAAGUUGUUGCGGCUAAAAAGCUCGUAGUUGGAUUUCUGUUGAGGACAUCUGGUCCGCUCUACGAGCGUGUAUCUAGUUUGGCCUCGGCAUCCGCUCUGCAUACGUUUCUGCGCUUGAUUGCGUGGAGCGGAGGUAGGGCCUUUUACUUUGAGGAAAUUAGAGUGUUCACGGCAGGCAGUCGCCCUGAAUAUAUUAGCAUGGAAUAAUAACAUAGGAUCUUGGUUCUAUUUUGUUGGUUUCUAGGACUAAGAUAAUGAUUAAUAGGGACAAUUGGGGGCAUUCGUAUUGCGGUGUCAGAGGUGGAAUUCUUAGAUUGCGUUACGACGAACUACUGCGAAAGCAUUUGCCAAAGAUGUUUUCAUUGAUCAAGAACGAAAGUAUGGGGAUCGAAGAUGAUUAGAUACCA
Molecule: ribosomal RNA, 421 nt
Filed under: uncultured eukaryote
Lineage: Eukaryota
Description: SSU rRNA
Rfam family: Eukaryotic small subunit ribosomal RNA
Source: RNAcentral